This is a long non-coding RNA of Wasmannia auropunctata (little fire ant), 1053 nucleotides long. RefSeq lists it as uncharacterized. The transcript has 2 exons. Lineage: Eukaryota; Metazoa; Arthropoda; Insecta; Hymenoptera; Formicidae. The record is from RefSeq and is a predicted model, not a curated record.
CACCAUGUACGACACGAAGUAAUUUUUCAGGUCGUUGCUUCCGAUCGGCAUCCGGCGCGACCGAUCGGACGUAGGCGCCGAAUUCUGUACUACGAUACGGAUGAUGUCGACGGCGAUGUGGUUGGCGUUGGUGUGGUUAGUUUUCGUGGUCGUUGAAGCGUGACGGGGAUCGCGAAGGGCCGGUCCGUAACCCUAUCCCUGAUCGAUGGCGACAGUUUGCGACGGUCUGUCGGUUCUCUUCCUACCGUAAUUCGGCGCUUUCGCCCCGUUGCUCUUCUAGAUUGGAAGAGACAUCACGCCUCUAUGAGAUGAUCUAAUGGAAGAAGAGUGCUCGAGUUUCAAGUCGAUGAUCGUGACUAGCUGCAGCGAGACGAAAUCGUUACUCGUGCUCGCAGAUAAUAAAUUAUAUAAAUUUCGCGAGAUAAAUCGCGAUCAACGGCGGCCAAGUAUCCAGUCACCUCUUUUGCCAGUAGAAAGAAGGGAUAGAUGGGAACGCAAAAUGAAACGAAUAAAGUCGAUGAAAAGAUAGAGCGUUGUCGUCGUCAUCGGGAGACAGGACGAGGGUGUGUAGGAAGAUGUAGGAGGAGAGAGACUAGAAAAUACAAGAGAGAAAGGGAGGGAGGGCAAACACGAAGAAUGCCACGGCAAUCGUAAUGGGUUUGCAGUAGUGGCAACGGCAGCAGCAGUAACGCUGUUGCAGGUAAUAACCAUCGCGUAUAUAACGACACGAUGAGUCGUGGGUAGCUCUCGGCCGAUGGACUCGGGGCCCCUCGACGGCUUUCACGAGGUUCCCUAGUUUCUGCCCGCGGUGUACCGAAUGCACGAUCCUUCCGAGCUUGAUUACCCGAACCCUUUUACCACGAAGAUGGGCAACGAGACAGUCAUGGAGGAAUCUUCGCGCCGCACAUUCCAAUAGUGAUCAUAUAAUUCCUCUUAUCGUUAUCUAAUUAAUUAUUUAUUUUGAGUUAAAAUAUCUCGCGUGGCACGUGAUGUAAUAUCGGGAAUUAUUUGCUAAAGUAUAUUGUAUAUAAAUAAUACGUGAGAUGAAUAUUA